CCAGAUUGCCAAUUUGUCAAGAUCCUGGAUGGAAUUGAAUGGGCUGCAUACUUACAACACCCUCCCCUGAGUCAUCAAUGAACAAGGAAACAAUUAAUGAAUAAUGAAAAAGAAUUUUACCAAACAGGUAUAAACCCAGCCUGGUCGUCUUGAAUUAAAUCUGGUUACUACCUACAGCUAUCAGCUGGCCUCUGAGCACACAUUUCUUAGUUUCCCACAAUGUCGCCAAGCUAACAUCUGGUCCCAAAUUCUCUUUAAGUAUUUGUUGAAGCAUAUCCCUAAUUUUAUUUUUUAUAUCUUUUCUGUGUAGCAAUAAAUUGUUGAACCUCCAAGUGUAUUCUUUUUCAUUUAUUUAUGGUAAUUCCAACCUGAGAGUUAUUGGGUAGUGGUUCCCCUUUAUUAUAACAUAUCUACCUUCCUUAUCUAUUUUCUUCUCUUGUAGUACAAACGGUAAGUCUUUGUGAAUCAUUAUUAGUACUCCUGUUGCUUUCUUCUCUGGGUUAUUACUAUAAUAAAUCUGUGUAUAAAGUCUAUCCAUUAUCCUUGGGGUGUGACCUUCUUUAAAGUGGGUUUCUUGAAACAUUAUUAUAUGUGCCUGUAGUUUUUUACAUGUGUUUAGGAUUUGGCUUCUCUUAACAGGUUCGUUCAGCCCAUUUACAUUAUAGCUUAAAAUUAAACACAUUUACUUUAAAAUACCUUCUUGUAACGUGUACCAUUAUAUUUUUAACCUCUCGUCCUAUAUCAUCUACUUUAUGAAAGUUAAAGUCCACACAGAGAGAAAAUGGCCUGU
Xenopus laevis (African clawed frog) is the source of this 790-nucleotide long non-coding RNA. RefSeq lists it as uncharacterized. NCBI's taxonomy places the organism in Eukaryota, Metazoa, Chordata, Amphibia, Anura, Pipidae. The record is from RefSeq and is a predicted model, not a curated record. The transcript has 3 exons.